UUAAAGUUAAUGAAUGCUUAAAUUAAUUUACUGACAAAAACAAAUGUCUGUCCUUCAGAUCCUAUAAUUUUAAUUGGAGUGGGCUACGGCUUAAUUAACAUGUAUUGAUUGUAGUCCUGAGUACAUCUAUAGGUGGGUGGACUGUGUUGGGAGAAAUCCUCCUCAGAGAUGAAGAUUUGCUGAUAACAUUCUGAAUAAUUGUCUUGUGAAGAGACAGAAGUCUUUGCUGUUUUCUCUGCAGAAAGCUUUAAACAAAAGGUGCAUGAAGAAAACAGAAAAUUGGAAGAGAGUUGGAGCAAAUAAAGAAGCGGAUGCAACUGGAAACUUUUUGGGGGAUAAAAAGGUGGGUCAGGCUGUCUCCCCUGAGGCGGGGAUGUACCUGCAGAGCUGUGGGUGAGGAGCAGCUGGGAGAAUCCUCCUCCUCCAUCCCUGUGUUCCUGGGAGCCGUGUCCAUCCUCAGGGAUGCGGGAUGUGCCCGCGAAGCGUGA
This 488-nucleotide long non-coding RNA is filed under the name Parus major (Great Tit). Its description in RNAcentral is "lncRNA (ENSPMJG00000015337.1)". Lineage: Eukaryota; Metazoa; Chordata; Aves; Passeriformes; Paridae. The record is from RNAcentral.